Molecule: ribosomal RNA, 377 nt
Filed under: uncultured eukaryote
Lineage: Eukaryota
Description: partial 18S ribosomal RNA
Rfam family: Eukaryotic small subunit ribosomal RNA
Source: RNAcentral
CAAUAGCGUAUAUUAAAGUUGUUGCAGUUAAAAAGCUCGUAGUUGGAUUUCGGGGCAGCCUGGCUGGUCCGCCGCAAGGCGAGUACUGGUCAGCCGCCCUUCCUCUCGAAAGCCCCGACUGCUCUUCGUUGCAGUGGUCGGGUAGUUCGGGACGUUUACUUUGAAAAAAUUAGAGUGUUCAAGGCAGGCCUACGCCUGAAUACAUUAGCAUGGAAUAAUGGAAGAGGACCUCGGUCCUAUUUUGUUGGUUUCCAGGGCCGAAGUAAUGAUUAAGAGGGACAGUUGGGGGCAUUCGUAUUUAAUUGUCAGAGGUGAAAUUCUCGGAUUUAUGAAAGACGAACAACUGCGAAAGCAUUUGCCAAGGAUGUUUUCAUCAA